Molecule: ribosomal RNA, 253 nt
Filed under: uncultured bacterium
Lineage: Bacteria
Description: partial 16S ribosomal RNA
Rfam family: Bacterial small subunit ribosomal RNA
Source: RNAcentral
UACAGAGGGUGCGAGCGUUGUUCGGAAUUAUUGGGCGUAAAGGGCGCGUAGGCGGUGCGGUAAGUCACCUGUGAAAUCUCCUGGCUCAACUGGGAGCUUGCAGGCGAAACUGCCGUGCUGGAGUGUGGGAGAGGUGAGUGGAAUUCCCGGCGUAGCGGUGAAAUGCGUAGAUAUCGGGAGGAACACCUGUGGCGAAAGCGGCUCACUGGACCACAACUGACGCUGAGGCGCGAAAGCUAGGGGAGCAAACAGG